RNAcentral lists this transfer RNA (74 nucleotides) under Araneus ventricosus. It matches the Rfam family "tRNA". From Rfam's summary of the family: Transfer RNA (tRNA) molecules are approximately 80 nucleotides in length. Lineage: Eukaryota; Metazoa; Arthropoda; Arachnida; Araneae; Araneidae. The record is from Rfam by way of RNAcentral.
GUCUCUAUGGCGCAAUUGGCUAACGCGUUCGGCUGUUAACCGAAAGGUUGGUGGUUCGAGCCCACCUAGGGACG